Molecule: ribosomal RNA, 646 nt
Filed under: Schizonycha sp. SA24 DA-2012
Lineage: Eukaryota; Metazoa; Arthropoda; Insecta; Coleoptera; Scarabaeidae
Description: eukaryotic LSU rRNA
Rfam family: Eukaryotic large subunit ribosomal RNA
Source: RNAcentral
GGACCAAGGAGUCUAGCAUGUGCGCGAGUCAUUGGGACUCUAAUGAAACCUAAAGGCGCAAUGAAAGUGAAGGUUCGCCUCGCGCGAACCGAGGGAGGAUGGGUGGUCGCGAGUGGCCGCCCCGCACUCCCGGGGCGUCUCGUUCUCAUCGCGAGAAGAGGCGCACCCAGAGCGUACACGCUGGGACCCGAAAGAUGGUGAACUAUGCCUGGUCAGGACGAAGUCAGGGGAAACCCUGAUGGAGGUCCGUAGCGAUUCUGACGUGCAAAUCGAUCGUCGGAACUGGGUAUAGGGGCGAAAGACUAAUCGAACCAUCUAGUAGCUGGUUCCCUCCGAAGUUUCCCUCAGGAUAGCUGGCGCUCGCUUCUUGCGAGUCUCAUUCGGUAAAGCGAAUGAUUAGAGGCAUUGGGGUCGAAACGGCCUCAACCUAUUCUCAAACUUUAAAUGGGUGAGAUCUCCGGCUUGCUUGAACUGUGAAGCCGCGAGAUAUCGGAUCAGAGUGCCAAGUGGGCCACUUUUGGUAAGCAGAACUGGCGCUGUGGGAUGAACCAAACGCCGAGUUAAAGCGCCUAAAUCGACGCUUAUGGGAUACCAUGAAAGGCGUUGGUAACUUAAGACAGCAGGACGGUGGCCAUGGAAGUCGGAA